CGCUUGUUGCCGACAUACGCGUAGGACUUUUCGAACACUCAUUGCUCUGGUACACUUCGAGUACAUUGAAAUCAACGCUUGUCACACAGGCCGAAGCUAAGGGUUGACGGCGAGUCAAAGGAAUGCUGGGGAGGAGGAAGCAGAUGGGUUGCUGGAGAGGUGAGGAGGAUACAUCCCUUUGCUCCAGUAUUUCACCUGCCUCCUUCUCCCCAGCCCGAAAAGCAGGUGCUUCUUCAAGGUCUGCAGGAGAUUUUGUCGUUCACGACCUGGGCGUCAACGGACAAAACGCCGCUGCUUACGCCUUGUCGUGGUGAACCCCAGUUCGGCGUUGGCCGCCUUCAGCACCGCUCG
This is a long non-coding RNA of Ixodes scapularis (black-legged tick), 351 nucleotides long. RefSeq lists it as uncharacterized. NCBI's taxonomy places the organism in Eukaryota, Metazoa, Arthropoda, Arachnida, Ixodida, Ixodidae. The record is from RefSeq and is a predicted model, not a curated record. The transcript has 3 exons.